UAAACUUUAAGUUAUAAAAACUAAGGGCCUUCAAAGCCCUCAUAGAGCUAGCUCAAGUUUAA
This 62-nucleotide transfer RNA is filed under the name Eurythenes maldoror. RNAcentral describes it as "tRNA-Trp". The record is from RNAcentral. Lineage: Eukaryota; Metazoa; Arthropoda; Malacostraca; Amphipoda; Lysianassidae.